Lucilia sericata (common green bottle fly) is the source of this 431-nucleotide long non-coding RNA. RefSeq lists it as uncharacterized. Lineage: Eukaryota; Metazoa; Arthropoda; Insecta; Diptera; Calliphoridae. The transcript has 2 exons. The record is from RefSeq and is a predicted model, not a curated record.
UUAGUCAACAGUUACCAAUUUAACGCUGUCUGCCUCUCUAUACUUUCAAAUCACUUUCCGAAGCUGUCAACUAAUUGAAUGAAAUUCUUCCUCAAAGCGUGUUCCGCCAACAAGUCAAAAUUGAGCAAAAAUUUAUUCAAUAAUUUUAUUUUGAGACUUAAAUUAAAUUUUCGAAAAUUGUCUAAUAUGUGGUUUCAGCAAAGUAUUGCUAAUAAUAGAACCGACACAAAAAUGUUUCUUUUUAAAUAACAUGCCAGGGAUAUUCACCUAGUGCGGCCCUAGUAACAGAACUUACUGCCGAAGAGGUUUGAACAUGUAGUAACUUAAGCUUAAAGAAGAUUCAUAAAAUGAUCAGUUUAGAGAUAAAUAACUGCUUGUUAAACUAUUACUAGUUUUUUGUUAUUUUAUUAAAACAAUACGAUAUUUCCUUA